AACGAACGCUGGCGGCAUGCCUAACACAUGCAAGUCGAACGAGGCCUUCGGGUCUAGUGGCGCACGGGUGCGUAACGCGUGGGAACCUGCCCUUAGGCUCGGAAUAACUCCCCGAAAGGGGUGCUAAUACCGGAUAAUGUCUUCGGACCAAAGAUUUAUCGCCCUUGGAUGGGCCCGCGUUGGUUUAGCUUGUUGGUAGGGUAAAAGCCUACCAAGGCGACGAUCCAUAGCUGGUCUGAGAGGAUGAUCAGCCACACUGGGACUGAGACACGGCCCAGACUCCUACGGGAAGCAGCAGUGGGGAAUAUUGGACAAUGGGCGAAAGCCUGAUCCAGCAAUGCCGCGUGAGUGAUGAAGGCCUUAGGGUUGUAAAGCUCUUUUACCCGGGAUGAUAAUGACAGUACCGGGAGAAUAAGCUCCGGCUAACUCCGUG
RNAcentral lists this ribosomal RNA (433 nucleotides) under uncultured bacterium. RNAcentral describes it as "partial 16S ribosomal RNA". It matches the Rfam family "Bacterial small subunit ribosomal RNA", at positions 29 to 507 of the family's 1533-position model. The record is from RNAcentral.